UGGACCUUUAGCUCAGGUGGUUAGAGCAGACGGCUCAUAACCGUCCGGUCGUAGGUUCGAGUCCUACAAGGUCCAU
This 76-nucleotide transfer RNA is filed under the name Granulicatella adiacens. Its description in RNAcentral is "tRNA-Met(cat)". It matches the Rfam family "tRNA". Rfam says of the family: Transfer RNA (tRNA) molecules are approximately 80 nucleotides in length. Their secondary structure includes four short double-helical elements and three loops (D, anti-codon, and T loops). Further hydrogen bonds mediate the characteristic L-shaped molecular structure. tRNAs have two regions of fundamental functional importance: the anti-codon, which is responsible for specific mRNA codon recognition, and the 3' end, to which the tRNAs corresponding amino acid is attached (by aminoacyl-tRNA synthetases). tRNAs cope with the degeneracy of the genetic code in two manners: having more than one tRNA (with a specific anti-codon) for a particular amino acid; and 'wobble' base-pairing, i.e. permitting non-standard base-pairing at the 3rd anti-codon position. The record is from RNAcentral. Lineage: Bacteria; Bacillati; Bacillota; Bacilli; Lactobacillales; Carnobacteriaceae.